UUUUAUCCAGAUGCAGUAUCACUCGAAAAUAAAACAGCGCUGAUGAGAGUAAUAAUUGUAAGCUACAAGUUGGAGAUUGAGCUCAUGAUUGUAUUUAAGCGACUCGAUAAACCUCCUUCGAGGAAUCGAGGAAAUGCGUUGGCACAGACCUGCAAGGAACUGCGUGAGCGCUGCGAUGCUUUGAUGCUUUUCCCAAUGCUGACUGGACGUUUAUCAAAGAUCAAGCAAUCCGUAACUUAACCUGGCCGGCGACCAAAGAAGAUUACAUUACAUUUCGAGCGCUGGCCGACAAUUACUGCCGCAUGAAAAUGCAUCCGCACUCUGCAAGAAGGAUCUGAUAGCCCGUUGCGCCGAUGAUCCGCAUGUGGAGUCAAAGUGGUGGGCCUACUGCCCAUCCUCGAUUGAGUGGUCGCUAUCCUGGGUCGCAUUGUGCCAGUCCGACGUUAAUCCGCUUUGGUAUUACCGCGCCCACCGAUACUGUGACGUACGCAGCCAUGAUGUGGAUUUCAAGCUGCAUUGAGUUGCAACGAUGGCCUACCCAGAGCAACGUCACCAUUAAUAAUGCUAAAAGUCUGGUCUGUCAACACUUGGACAACUGCGUAAAGCGAUUGGAAGGUCACCUGUACGAGGCGCUAUCCGACGAUUGCGGAUCGGAGGCAGUGGAUGCUAUGCGCGAUGGUUGUCGGGCGCGGCACGCUGCUUUCUGUUCAACUUAAAAAAUAUGGCUUCUGCUGAUACAAUGUGUGUAUAACACUGGAAAAAAUUUCGCAUAGAUGGGUGCUGUAAAUCGAUGUCACUUCUCAAAACCGUACGCAGCGAAACUAUGAAA
Long non-coding RNA from Paramacrobiotus metropolitanus, 829 nucleotides. RefSeq lists it as uncharacterized. The record is from RefSeq and is a predicted model, not a curated record. The transcript is spliced from 4 exons. Lineage: Eukaryota; Metazoa; Tardigrada; Eutardigrada; Parachela; Macrobiotidae.